UACGAAGGGGGCUAGCGUUGCUCGGAAUCACUGGGCGUAAAGGGCGCGUAGGCGGCCGAUCAAGUCAGAGGUGAAAGCCCAAGGCUCAACCUUGGAAUUGCCUUUGAUACUGUUCGGCUCGAGACCGGAAGAGGUUAGUGGAACUGCGAGUGUAGAGGUGAAAUUCGUAGAUAUUCGGAAGAACACCAGUGGCGAAGGCGGCUCACUGGACUGGUAUUGACGCUGAGGUGCGAAAGCGUGGGGAGCAAACAGG
This 253-nucleotide ribosomal RNA is filed under the name uncultured bacterium. RNAcentral describes it as "partial 16S ribosomal RNA". It matches the Rfam family "Bacterial small subunit ribosomal RNA", at positions 524 to 776 of the family's 1533-position model. The record is from RNAcentral.